GCAGGUAUACCUGCUUCAGGUAUACCUGCAGUGACACAGAGAAGAUUAGCAUGCCCGGCGCAAGGAGGACACACAAAUUCACAAAGCAUUCCAUAUUUUU
This 100-nucleotide small nuclear RNA is filed under the name Sciurus vulgaris (Eurasian red squirrel). Lineage: Eukaryota; Metazoa; Chordata; Mammalia; Rodentia; Sciuridae. The record is from RNAcentral.